RNAcentral lists this ribosomal RNA (865 nucleotides) under Phellinus sp. YD-2015. Its description in RNAcentral is "eukaryotic LSU rRNA". The stretch from base 323 to 476 matches the Rfam family "5.8S ribosomal RNA". The record is from RNAcentral. Lineage: Eukaryota; Fungi; Basidiomycota; Agaricomycetes; Hymenochaetales; Hymenochaetaceae.
UCAGAACAAGUAUAACUCGUAUCAAGGUGUCGAUAGAUGAACCUGGAGAAUGAUCACGAGCGCGUGUGACAUCGAGAGCUGUUGCUGGUGCGGAACGCACAUCGUGCACGGCUCCCGUGCUCAAUCCAUUUCAACCCCCUUGUGCACCUUAUCGAAGUCAGUAGUCUUUCUCUUUUUGUUUGACCGGUUGUGUGCGGGAACCUCUUUCUGUUCGACUUGGCCGGCGAGGAGAAAUAGAGGGUCGAAAGCUUUGACUUUUCUGUUAAACACUUUGUAUGUCUUGUGGAACGUAUUAGCUCCUUUGUAGGGGCGAAAUAAAUACAACUUUCAACAACGGAUCUCUUGGCUCUCGCAUCGAUGAAGAACGCAGCGAAAUGCGAUAAGUAAUGUGAAUUGCAGAAUUCAGUGAAUCAUCGAAUCUUUGAACGCACCUUGCGCCCCUUGGUAUUCCGAGGGGCAUGCCUGUUUGAGUGUCAUGUUAAUCUCAAACCCCUUGUCUUUUUUGUUGACUUGGUCGGUUUGGACUUGGAGGUGUUGCUGGCGUGCGUCGGCUCCUCUUAAUUGCAUUAGCUGGACUUUGGUUCGCAUUUGACGGUGUAAUAGUAAAGUGUUCGCCGGGCGUGCUUGCCUAACGGGUCUGCUUCUAAUCGUCUUCGGACAACUCUGUUCAUUUGACCUUGACCUCAAAGCCCGUAGGACUACACGCUGAUCUUACUCCUAUCUGAAAUCGGACGAAAAGAUACUAGCAGGGAUUCACAUAGUAACUGCGACCGCAACGAACUGAGAUCGAAUUUGGAAUCUGGCAGAUUUAGAAUGUGGCAGCUGUCGUCUGUAGAAGCUGUUUUCGCGCUAGACAGUGUACGCG